UCCUGCACUUAGGAUCAAGUGUAGGCAUCUGUCAGUUUGGUUUUUAACCGGACGCGCCGUCAACAUAUCCCUUUCUACAACAGAUGCUGGAUAAUGAAGAUUAUUCAGUCGGGUUUUGGGCUAGUAGCUCAGUUGGUUAGAGCACACGCUUGAUAAGCGUGGGGUCGGAGGUUCAAGUCCUCCCUGGCCCACCAUGUUUUAGUUAGCCGUUUCCUAAGGGGGCGUAGCUCAGCUGGGAGAGCACCUGCUUUGCAAGCAGGGGGUCGUCGGUUCGAACCCGUCCGUCUCCACCAGGGAAGGUUAGUUAAGGCUUUGGUGUUGAGAGUAUCUGUUGUGGGGGAGUUAGUGAUCGGACGCUCCUUAUCCUGAACUGCGAUAGCGGUGAGGAUUUGUGAUUGUCUGGUGUUGAUCUUUGUCAGUGUGAAUCGGUUGGUGCGUUUCUGGGCGUGCUGAAAGCUGUGGGUUGGUCUGACCCAUAUGAUCUGAGGUUUUGCCUUGGGUUGUAUGUUAAGCAGUGAUUAGCAUUAAGCGUUCAGAAGCGUUUUAAAGUGUGACGUGCUCGGAUGCGUUCAUGCUUAGAGCUGUUUGUAUCGUAAGGUAUGGAUGGUUUCUGUGCAUGGGGCGAGUGAGCGCGAUAAGGGCAUUCGGUGGAUG
This 654-nucleotide transfer RNA is filed under the name Acetobacter persici JCM 25330. Its description in RNAcentral is "partial miscellaneous RNA". The stretch from base 118 to 191 matches the Rfam family "tRNA". The record is from RNAcentral. Lineage: Bacteria; Pseudomonadati; Pseudomonadota; Alphaproteobacteria; Acetobacterales; Acetobacteraceae.